GAAUAUAAAAGCCCACAGCUGACCCGCUAUUUCAUUUAUUCGGAAAUAUUACCGGUGUGUUAACGUGCCAGUAGCAAAUCAAAUAUUUAAAAAUCCUCCUAAAUUGUUUAAAUAAGUUGGAAAUGGUGAAUGUACCAAAUGUUAUGUUGAAUAGUGGUCAUCCCAUGCCUAUUUUAGGGCUGGGAACUUGGGGUAGUCCCAAGGGUGAAGUAGCCCAAGCUGUAAAAGAUGCCAUUGAUAUUGGUUAUCGUCACAUUGACUGUGCCCAUGUCUAUCAAAACGAACAUGAGGUGGGCGAAGGUAUUGAGGCUAAAAUUAAUGAAGGUGUGGUAAAACGUGAGAAUCUCUUCAUUACGAGUAAAUUAUGGAAUACCUAUCACAGUCCUGCCUUGGUGCGUGGUGCUUGUGAGACCACCUUGAAAAAUUUGAAAUUAUCCUAUAUCGAUAUGUACCUGAUUCACUGGCCCAUGGGCUACAAGGAAGGCGGUGAAUUGUUUCCCGUCGAUGCCAAUGGCAAAACUGCUUACUCCGACGCUGAUUAUGUUGAUACCUGGAAGGAAAUGGAAAAAUUGGUUCAAGAUGGUUUGGUUAAAUCCAUUGGUGUUUCGAACUUCAAUAAGAAACAAAUUGAACGUGUAUUGGCUGUAGCCACCAUACCACCAGCAAACAAUCAAGUUGAAUGCCAUCCCUAUUUGACACAAAAGAAAUUAAUGGAAUUUUGCAAAUCGAAAAACAUAGCCAUUACUGCUUAUAGCCCUUUGGGUUCACCCAAUCGUCCAAUGGCUCAACCAGGCGAGCCUGUGUUGAUGGAAGAUCCUAAGAUUGUUUCCAUUGCUACAAAAUAUUCUAAAACUCCUGCUCAAAUUCUGAUUCGUUAUCAGAUUCAACGUGGCAACAUUGUCAUACCCAAAUCGGUUAAUAAGGGGCGCAUUGCUUCUAACUUUGAUGUAUUCGGAUUUGAUUUGACCGCUGAGGAUGUGGCCAACAUAGAUAGCUUCGAUUGCAAUGGACGCUUGCUACAUUUAACAUCCGAUGCUGGACCGCAUCCUCAUUAUCCUUUCAAUGAUGAGUUCUAAAGCAACUCUAUCUAUAUAUACAUGUAUAGUAUAUUACGAAACAUCCUUAUUAAGAAAGGUGUAAAAGAUCAUCCCCACCAUCCGUUUGCAAACGAUGACUAGAAUAAAUCCCAGUUACUACAAGCUUUUGCUGGCAAAGCCUUAAAUGUUUUUUCUAUCAAUGUAUACAAGCUGACUUUUUUGUAAAUGUAAAAGCCUAACCUUUAAAAAAACUGUUUUUGAUAGAUUUACCCAAUUUUGGAGUAAGAAACCUUAAGGAAGUUUUUAUGGAUUUCGCCAUUUACAUAAGCACCCUUAGUAGUCUUUAGAUUUGUAUCACCAUUGUGUCCCAUAUUUUUUUUAAGAAUAAUUUAAAAUCGUUGCUUGAAUAAAUAUGUAAAGGCAAAAUAA
Molecule: RNA transcript, 1466 nt
Organism: Stomoxys calcitrans (stable fly)
Lineage: Eukaryota; Metazoa; Arthropoda; Insecta; Diptera; Muscidae
Gene name: aldo-keto reductase family 1 member B1
Exons: 6
Source: RefSeq, a predicted model, not a curated record